UAUUAUAAGAUCAUGGGCUAAAGAAUCAAUGGGGCUAGUGCCAUCUCUGAUUCAUAGCCCGAACUCUUAUUCUCUUGAUUUUGCUUUCUUUCCUAAGCGCGGGUAUGCUGUUGCAGGGUGAAUGCCCAUUGCCGAUGCUUUUGUGGUAAGGGGAAAUGGCUUGAGUGCGUGGUCAAUAAAGAAAACCUUCCAUACUACGGUUACGGUAUGGAUAGCUAACUUGAGUGACAAAAGACAACGAAUACUUGCUUGCGAGUUGACAGGUGAGGAAUACAGCCAACCAAUAGACCUAUUUAUGUUUACUAAAAGCAAUAGACGAGUUCCAUAUAGACUAGACCUACUAAUGGAGCAAGUAAGACUGACUGUUUCUAGUUGCGCUUAUUCAAUUGACUCGUUCUUGUAC
RNAcentral lists this long non-coding RNA (403 nucleotides) under Gossypium barbadense (sea-island cotton). Its description in RNAcentral is "long non-coding RNA (GBAR_LNC002446)". Lineage: Eukaryota; Viridiplantae; Streptophyta; Magnoliopsida; Malvales; Malvaceae. The record is from RNAcentral.